RNAcentral lists this long non-coding RNA (308 nucleotides) under Elaeis guineensis (African oil palm). RNAcentral describes it as "long non-coding RNA (EGUI_LNC008497)". The record is from RNAcentral. Lineage: Eukaryota; Viridiplantae; Streptophyta; Magnoliopsida; Arecales; Arecaceae.
UGGUGCACAAAGAGAGAGGGGUGGUGCCCUUCUCCCUACACGCGCAAUAAAAGAAGGGGCGCCAAUGUUGGCGCUCCAUUCUCCUAAGACUCCCUCUCCUUCUCUCUUUUGAAAUUAACUCAAUUUUAGUUAAUUUAGAAUUAGAUUAGGACUCCUAAAAGAGGUUUAAAUUUGGAUUAUGGCAUGAGAAUUCAAACAGAAGUAGGACUCCUUUUGGUUUGGGUGUGGACUUCAUGUGGCCACCCCUUUUGCCUAUAAAUAGGGGUGCCCCACCUCUAGGAUGCCUUAAGCACUCUUCCAUCAGAUCC